RNAcentral lists this ribosomal RNA (253 nucleotides) under uncultured bacterium. Its description in RNAcentral is "partial 16S ribosomal RNA". It matches the Rfam family "Bacterial small subunit ribosomal RNA", at positions 524 to 776 of the family's 1533-position model. The record is from RNAcentral.
GACAGAGGGGGCAAGCGUUGCUCGGAAUCACUGGGCGUAAAGGGCGCGUAGGCGGGAUGGCAAGUCAGUCGUGAAAUCUCUCGGCUCAACCGAGAAACGUCGGCUGAUACUGCCGUUCUUGAGGGAUGCAGAGGAGACUGGAAUUCCCGGUGUAGCGGUGAAAUGUGUAGAGAUCGGGAGGAACACCGGUGGCGAAGGCGGUUCUCUGGGCCUGACCUGACGCUGAGGAGCGAAAGCGUGGGGAGCGAACAGG